GACAGAGGGUGCAAACGUUGUUCGGAAUUACUGGGCGUAAAGCGUGUGUAGGCGGUCUCAUAAGUCGAGUGUGAAAGCCCCGGGCUCAACCCGGGAAGUGCACUCGAAACUGCGAGGCUAGAGUACUGGAGAGGUUGGUGGAAUUCUCGGUGUAGAGGUGAAAUUCGUAGAUAUUCGGAAGAACACCAGUGGCGAAGGCGACUCGCUGGACAAGUAUUGACGCUGAGGUGCGAAAGCGUGGGGAGCAAACAGG
RNAcentral lists this ribosomal RNA (253 nucleotides) under uncultured bacterium. RNAcentral describes it as "partial 16S ribosomal RNA". It matches the Rfam family "Bacterial small subunit ribosomal RNA", at positions 524 to 776 of the family's 1533-position model. The record is from RNAcentral.